CGAACGCUGGCGGCGUGCUUAACACAUGCAAGUCGAACGCGAACGUUUUCUUCGGAAAACUAGUAGAGUGGCGCACGGGUGAGUAACGCGUAGAUAACCUACCCUUAUGUCUGGGAUAACCCACCGAAAGGUGGACUAAUACCGGAUAUGCUUAUUUUUCAUAAGUUAUUAUAAGUAAAGGUGGCCUCUGAUUUAAGCUACUGCAUAAGGAGGGGUCUGCGUACCAUUAGCUUGUUGGUGGGGUAAUGGCCUACCAAGGCUUCGAUGGUUAGCGGGUCUGAGAGGAUGAUCCGUCACACUGGCACUGAAACACGGGCCAGACUCCUACGGGAGGCAGCAGUGAGGAAUAUUGCGCAAUGGGGGAAACCCUGACGCAGCGACGCCGCGUGAGUGAGGAAGGCCUUCGGGUCGUAAAGCUCUGUCAAGAGGGAAGAAGUGCAUAUUGGUUAAUAUCCAAUAUGUUUGACGGUACCUCUAAAGGAAGCACCGGCUAACUCC
RNAcentral lists this ribosomal RNA (498 nucleotides) under uncultured bacterium. Its description in RNAcentral is "bacterial SSU rRNA". It matches the Rfam family "Bacterial small subunit ribosomal RNA", at positions 30 to 504 of the family's 1533-position model. The record is from RNAcentral.